CAUAAGUUGUUUUCGAUGAUAGAUCUUCCGAAUCGACGAUCCACACCGUUAAACGUCAUUUACAGCAUUUAAAACUUCUAGAAAUCAAAUUUUAUAAUUUUUCGACGUCAUUUACCUUACGAUCAAGAGGUCACAAAUUUGACAAUUUUUAACGGCCGGUAUGGGAUACUUGCUAGUUUAACGGUGUAAAAGAAUCGAAAUUUGUUGAAUAUUUGAUAAAAAAUUUUAUUCAAUACAUAUAUAAAGAUCAAUAACUCCGAUCUUGAAUUGAAGGAUCCGAUCAUCCUUUUUAGGACGUCGUUCGAUUUUGACCGUUCAUUUUAUACCCACUUGAUGGACUUUAUUAUAAUUUCGAAAAUUUACGAAAUUUAUUUUCUAGAAGUUUCAAAUACUCUAGAUCAUAUUUAACGGAGUGGAUCGUCGAUUUGGAAGCUCCAUCAUUGAAAACAACUUAUGAGUAUGAGGGCUCCAAUACUCAUAAUAGUAUAGUAGCCAUGGCCUAUAUAUUAAUUUAUACUAAUAUUACAUGCAUACUAUAUCUAUAUAUAUUGCAUAAUACAUAAUACUCUAUAUACAUAUAAUAUAUAAUUUAUAUUUUAUAUUUAUUUUACAUAUGUAUAUAUACAUAAUGCAUGAUAUUUAUCAUGAAUACAUUCAUUCAUAAUAGAUAUAUAUACAUGCAUACUACAAACACACAACCCACAAACACAUCAUUAUUAGAUACUUUAUAUUAUAUAUAUAUAUAUGAUAUAAUAUUACUACAUUGCAUACUAAUUAACGUAUUAAUGCAUACAUCUACAUAAUAGUACAUACAUACAUAUAGAUACAUAUAUAUAUAUAUAUAUAUAGUAUAUUAGUAUAUAUAGAGGAGGCUCUACUUACUAUGGGCAGACGGAGGCUUACUGUUGUUCAGUUCGUUUUCGAUGUUACGACUUUUGAAUCGUCGAUCGGUUCCGUUAAACUUGAUCUAGAGUAUUUGGAGUACCUAGAAAAUAAAUUUUAUUAUUUUUCGAUAUCAUUUGUCUAGUGAUCGAAUGAGCUCAAAAUCAACAAAUUUCAAUGGCCGUAGUGAGCCGUUUGCAAGUUUAACGGUGUAGAAAUAUCCAAAUCACGUGAAAUUUUGAUAGAAAAUUCUUUAUACUAUAUAAAACAAGAUCAAUAUCUUUUAUUUAAAAUUUUAAUAUCAUACUAUUACAUUUUGUAAGAUUUUUAUUUUUAGCUGUUGAUUUUGAGCCCCUUCGUUCACUAGGCAAAUGAUAUCGUAAAAUCAUAAAAUUUAUUUUCUAGGUACUCCAAAUACUCUAGAUCAAGUUUAACGGAGCCGAUCGACGAUUCGAAAGUCACAACAUCGAAAACGAGCUGGAAGCACGGAAGGCUCCGUGCUUCCGAUAGCAUAGUAGCCUCACUCCAUAUAAUAUUAUGAUAUAUAUUAUAUUAUAUUAUAUAUAUAUAGUUAGUAUAUACAUAUAUUUAUGCUAACAUACUAAUUCAUUAAUAUUUUAUAUAUAUUUAUUAUAGAGGAAGAAGAGGUGAGAGAGAUGAGCGGGAGGAGAGAGAUGAUCGGAACUGAGAGAGAGAGAGAGUUGAGCUAGAAUACUAUCGGUAGCAAACGGGCUCCGUUGCCACCCAUUUGUUUUCGAUGAUGGAGCUUCCAAAUCGACAAUCGGCACCGUUGAACAUGAUCUAUACCACUUAAAGUAUCUAGAAACUAAAUUUCAAAUCUUUUCGAUAUCAUUGACCUAAUGAUCAAAAGAUUUCAAAAUUCGUAAUUUUAGUGGUAGAUAUGAGGUGUUUUCACGUUUAACGGCGUAAAGCUAUCCAAAUCAAUUGAAUUUUGGUUAGAAAAUUCUUUAAACUAUUUAGAACAAGAUCUAUACUCUCGAUCAUGAUUAUAAAAUUUCUAUCAUCACUUUUCAGAGGAUAUUCAUUUUCAACCGUUCAUUUUUACGCUCACUUGAUGGACAAGAGAACAAUAUCGGAAAAGCAUGAAAUUUGAUUUCUAGAUACUUCAAGUGGUAUAGAUUAUAUUUAACGGUGCCGAUCGUCGAUUUGGAGGCUCUAUCAUCGAAAACAAAUGGGUGGCAACGGAGUCCGUUUGCUACCGAUAGUAUUCUAGCUCAACUUCUAUAUUAUUAUAUAUAUUUAUAUAUAGUCGGUAGUAUCUUUUCGUACAAUGCUGGUACUCAUAAGUUGUUUUCGAUAAUAGAGCUUCCGAAUCGACGAUCCACACCGUUAAGCGUUAUUUACAGCAUUUAAAACUUCUAGAAAUCAAAAUUUAUAAUUUUUCGACAUCAUUUACCUUACGAUCAAGAGGUCACAAAUUUGACAAUUUUUAACGACCGGUAUGGGAUACUUGCUAGUUUAACGGUGUAAAAGAAUCAGAAUUUGUUGAAUUUUUGAUAGAAAAUUUUAUUCACUACAUAGAUAAAGAUCAAUAAUUCCGAUCUUAAAUUGAAGGAUUCGAUCAUCUUUUUUUAGAACGUCGUUCGAUUUUGACCGUUCAUUUUAUGCCCACUUGAUGGACUUUAUUAUGAUUUCGAAAAUUUACGAAAUUUUUUUUCUAGAAGUUUCAAAUA
Molecule: long non-coding RNA, 2576 nt
Filed under: Ananas comosus (pineapple)
Lineage: Eukaryota; Viridiplantae; Streptophyta; Magnoliopsida; Poales; Bromeliaceae
Description: long non-coding RNA (ACOM_LNC005122)
Source: RNAcentral